UACGGAGGAGGCAAGCAUUGUCCGGAAUUAUUGGGCGUAAAGAACACGUAGGUGGUUUUUCAAGUCAUGUGUGAAAACUUUGGGCUUAACUCAAAGAUUGCAUAUGAUACUGAUUAACUAGAGUACAGUAGAGGAAAGUGGAAUUCCUGGUGUAGCGGUGAAAUGCGCAGAUAUCAGGAAGAACACCGGUGGCGAAAGCGGCUUUCUGGACUGUUACUGACGCUGAGGUGUGAAAGCUAGGGUAGCGAACAGGAUUAGAUACC
Molecule: ribosomal RNA, 263 nt
Filed under: uncultured bacterium
Lineage: Bacteria
Description: partial 16S ribosomal RNA
Rfam family: Bacterial small subunit ribosomal RNA
Source: RNAcentral